RNAcentral lists this ribosomal RNA (497 nucleotides) under uncultured bacterium. RNAcentral's name for it is "partial 16S ribosomal RNA". It matches the Rfam family "Bacterial small subunit ribosomal RNA", at positions 28 to 507 of the family's 1533-position model. The record is from RNAcentral.
GAUGAACGCUGGCGGCGUGCCUAAUACAUGCAAGUCGAGCGAACAGACGAGGAGCUUGCUCCUCUGACGUUAGCGGCGGACGGGUGAGUAACACGUGGAAAACUUACUUAUAAGACUGGGAUAACUUGGGGAAACGGGAGCAAAUACGGGAAAAUAUUUUAAACCGCAUGGUCCAAUAGUGAAAGACGGUUUUGUUGUCACUUUUAGAUGGAUCCGCGCCGCAUUAGCUAGUUGGUAAGGUAACGGCUUACCAAGGCAACGAUGCGUAGCCGACCUGAGAGGGUGAUCGGCCACACUGGAACUGAGACACGGUCCAGACUCCUACGGGAGGCAGCAGUAGGGAAUCUUCCGCAAUGGGCGAAAGCCUGACGGAGCAACGCCGCGUGAGUGAUGAAGGUCUUCGGAUCGUAAAACUCUGUUAUUAGGGAAGAACAAAUGUGUAAGUAACUAUGCACGUCUUGACGGUACCUAAUCAGAAAGCCACGGCUAACUACGUG